GAAUGGUCAAUUUGCAAUAUGACACAGCUUCUCUCCAUUCUUCCAACUCCAUCAACAUCUGAUAAAGCCUCUCAACAUUUGAAACAGCUAAACGCCGAUCUUGAAGGCCUCUUUGCGACUCCUCUAUUGACACGCACGCGGCACGCUCUCUUCUCCUCCUGCCACCAGAACGUUCAAAAUGCCCGCUGUUAUAAAGUAGCAAAAAGUUACGAGUUAAGCCGUCUCAACCGAACCAUGAAUACGAUGGGUCCCAUACUUAUUAAAAUCUACGGCUGUAAAGCCGCCUGUGAGAAAAUAUUUUCAAGCAUUGCUGUGCCAAUAACUCUUAUAGUUUCCUCCGUCCCUGUAAUGAGAAAAGCCUCCUUCUCAGAAUAACCGAAGGAGAACUUCUCUGGCUCAUGCCACCCUUGAGUUGCCUCCUACGAUUUACCUCUCUGUCGUUUCGCUUUCUAGACAAGCGCAUAUCUGAAAGAACCAAAACGAACUACGCCCUCUGCCGAUCAGUAGCCUCCAUGGAUAGCGGCGGCGGCGGCAGCAGUAGUAGCUCGACCUGUACGCUGGUAUUAUCUGGAAAAUCAACAGCAGAGAAGGAAAUCGCUGAAUCUGUGAAGAAGAAUAGUGCUAUCAAACUCCCUGACAAUAACGAAGUUUCCAUACUCUUGGAAUCG
This 668-nucleotide unclassified non-coding RNA is filed under the name Hevea brasiliensis (rubber tree). Lineage: Eukaryota; Viridiplantae; Streptophyta; Magnoliopsida; Malpighiales; Euphorbiaceae. The record is from RNAcentral.